CGCAUCGUCAUUGGGGAGUAGCCGACCGCUCAUGCGAGCGGGGGCGACGUCAACACACUUGGCCCACAAGGCUAUGGCGUCGCCAGCGAUCCGCCUGGCAAGACCUUUGACCACGCAGCCUCCGAGCGGCCGGGGAGCGCGUGGUCAUGGGUAUCGGACCGGCCGGGAGUCUU
Molecule: small RNA, 173 nt
Filed under: Pseudomonas denitrificans (nom. rej.)
Lineage: Bacteria; Pseudomonadati; Pseudomonadota; Gammaproteobacteria; Pseudomonadales; Pseudomonadaceae
Description: Pseudomonas denitrificans Manganese sequence
Rfam family: Manganese Mn2+ riboswitch aptamer (yybP-ykoY)
About the family: This RNA was originally discovered in E. coli during a large scale screen and was named SraF. The family was later found to exist upstream of related families of protein genes in many bacteria, including the the yybP and ykoK genes in B. subtilis.
Source: RNAcentral